RNAcentral lists this long non-coding RNA (4096 nucleotides) under Homo sapiens (human). RNAcentral describes it as "HSALNT0187484". The record is from RNAcentral. Lineage: Eukaryota; Metazoa; Chordata; Mammalia; Primates; Hominidae.
GCCCACUUGGCUGGGUCUAUUUCCAAUUCUUUUAGUCUCUGGGGCUGAUGAAAUGAAGAUGGGAGGGUAGGGCAAGAGAAACAAGAAGAGCUAGCCAAGAAGAUAGAAAAUAAUGAUUUUCAGCUCACUGCCACCUCCACUUCCCGGGUUCCCGCGAUCCUCCCACCACAGUGAAGUGGUGUCAUUUGCCUGGGAAAAUACCCAAGGUUCAUUGUCUCAUACCAAGGAAAUCGAAGACACGGACACACAAGAGAUGAGUAAGAGCAGAGGCUUAAUAGGCAAAAGAAAGAGAAAAGAGAAUAGCUCCCUCUCCUGCAGAGAGAGGGGUGCCCGAGUGGGUCUUCCAGUUCCAUGGUGAGGUGCACGGGUUUUAUAGACUGGCUUGAGGAGGCAGUGUCUGAUUUACAUAGGGCCCAAAGAUUGGUUAGACCAGGUGUGACGUUUACAUAGCUCACGAAGAAGCUGGCCACCCCACCUUAAUCUUUUAUUAUGCAAAUGGGUUUUCUACCUGGCCAGAGCCAUGUUGCCUGUUCCUUACUGGACAUGUGGUUGACAAAGAAAAGGGAAGAUGGAGCUGCCAUGUUGAACAUGCCUAGCCCCCAGGAAGCUAGAUGCUAUGCUUUGAAGAAGCUCAGCCAAGACAACUGGAAGAGAAGAGACUACAUGGAGAGAGAAAGGCCACGUGGAGGACCACUGGGGCUCCACGCAUUGAGUGAAGCCUUUUUGGACUUUUGAGCCAGCCAACUAAUAAGAAGUAAAACCAACACUGUGGAGUGGCAAACAAAAGAAAAUGCAUUUUAAUCUGGGUCUCAGGAAUUGCAAUUGGGAGACACAGAUCCAGCAAAUAGGAAAAUCAUGUUCCGUCUUGGUGAGAUUAGGCAGAGGCUUAGAAGGACUACUGUGAGUUUACACAUCUGGAAGGUUUUAGCAUAGUUCAUAAUGGAUGAUGGCUGGUUAACAAUUUAGUACGUCUUUGAUGAUCAAUCUAGUUCAGCAUAGCUGUCUCUUGUCGGUAAAAAAAAAAAAAAAAAAAAGCCAAUCUCUGCAAAAUAUUUAAAGAGCUUUAUUCUGAGCCCAUAUGAGUGACCAUGGCCCAGGGAACAGUCUAAAAGAGGUCCUGAGAAAGUGUGCCUGAGGUGGUUGAAUUACAGCUUGGUUUUAUACAUUGUAGGGAGACAGAAGUUAUAGGCAAAGACAAAUCAAUACAUCUAAGGUAUACAUUGGUUUGGCCAGGAAAGGCGGGACAGCUUAAGGAAGGAGCAAUACAGGUCAUAGGUGGAUUCAAAGAUUUUCUGAUUUGGAAUUGGUCAAAAGAGUUAAGCUGAAGACUUAAAGUCAGGCCGGGCGUGGUGGCUCACGCCUAUAAUCCCAGCACUUUGGGAGGCCGAGGCGGGCGGAUCACAAGGUCAGGAGAUCGAGACCAUCCUGGCUAACAUGGUGAAACCCGUCUCUACUAAAAAUACAAAAAAAAAAAAAUUAGCCAGGCGUGGUGGUGGACACCUGUAGUCCCAGCUACUCGGGAGGCUGAGGCAGGAGAAUGGCGUGAACCCAGGAGGCAGAGCUUGCAGUGAACCAAGAUUGCACCACUGCACUCCAGCCUGGGUGACAGAGCGACACUCCAUCUCAAAAAAAAAAAAAAAAAAAAAAAGACAAAGUCAGUAGAAAGAAAUGCUUGGGUUGAGAUAAGGGGGGGUGGGCUGUGAUUCUUGUUAUAUAGAUGAAGCCUCAGAUAGCAGGCUUCAGAGAGAAUAGAUGGUAAACGUCUCUUUUGGAAUUUCACAGGUGUCAGACUCUUAGUUAAUCUCUGCUAGAUCUGGGAAAAGCCUAGCUGCAUUAAUAAAGAUCCUCUACAGAUGCAAAAUUUCUUUCUCAAAAGAUGGCUUCUCAGGACCAUUUCAAAAUAUGCCAAAGAAAUAUAUUUUGAGGUAAAAUAUUUUAAUUUUCUUCAAGGUCUGUUAUCUGUCAUGUGAUAUUAUACCAGUUGGAAUUUGGUAUCUUCUUACCAAAGAGUCUGUUUUUGUCAGUCUUAUGAUCUCUAUUUUAAUAUUAAUGCUGGUCUGUUAUACCUAAACUUUAAAAGGGAGAGAGUAUAAUGAGGUACGUCCAACCCUUCCUUCCCAUCAUGGCCUGGAAUUUAGUUUUUCAGCUUGCUCUGGGGUCCCCUCGGCCUAGACAGCUGUCUGUUCAGUUGGUUGGGGGCUUAGGAUAUAAUUUUUGGUUUACACUCUUCAGGUUGAUGAUCAGGCAAAGCAUAAACAGUUCAAAUCAAAUGCAGCUGGUUUUACAAUUUGGCCCAGUUACAGUCAGAUUUCAUCUGAGGGUCCAACUCUUCAUGCCUUCUCAACUCAACUGUUAGAUACCUCCAACAAAACCAUCAACCAUCUCCAUUGUGGAUUUUCUUGUCAGAACCCCAGCCCAUCGUCUCACUGAAGCCAUCCUAGUGAGUGACCAUGGCUGUCACCACAUGAACUAAAAGAACCAUCAAGCCAAGCCCUGUCUAGUGUCCAGACCUACAGAAACAGGAGCAGUUUGGAGUGGUUUAUUAUCUAGCAAUAGAUAACUGAAGUAGCUACAAAGAUAACUUUAGCAUGAUUUCCAGGCAAAGUGCUCUCUCCUCAGAAUUUGUAAGAUUCCUCCAAAGAGCAGCUGUAGAGCUGUUAAGUAUCCAAUCCAAACAGAUGGGAGAAAAGAUAAAGCUCUUGACAAGCUGCUGUGGAAAAUACCAAUUCAUGUUAUCUCUGCCUUCCUGGGAACUUGCAAAUGAACCAGCCCUCAAAUGCAGCUCUGGAUAUGACAAACCAUCCCAGAUGGACCCCUAAAGUUCCCCAAUAGCUUUGUAUCUUUCAAAACCACAUAAAUCUUAGAAUCUACAGUUUAGGUUUUUGUUUGUUUGUUUGUUUUAGACAGAGUUUUGCUCUUGUUGCCCAGGCUGGAGUGCAAUGACGUGAUCUCGGCUCACUGCAAGCUCUGCCUCCUGGGUUCAAGUGAUUCUCCUGCCUCAACGUUCCAAGUAGCUGGGAUUACAGGCACGUGCCACCAGGCCCAGCUAAUUUUUUGUAUUUUUAGUAGAGACAGGGUUUCACCAUGUUGGCCAGGCUGGUCUCAAACUCCUGACCUCAGGUGAUCCAUCUGCCUUGGCCUCCCAAAAUGCUGGGAUUACAGGUGUGAGCCACUGCUCUUGGCCCAGUUUAGGGUUUAUAGUGUGCCAAACUACGAGAUCCCUUCCAGUUCUGCUUAUCUUAAUGUAAAAGGACAUUAAAUAUAAAUAAUAUAAAUUAUAUAAUUAAUGACAAUUAAAAUUAUUUUUAAGUUAAUUGUUUUUGUUUUUGUUUGAGACUGAGUCUCACUCUAUCGCCCAGGCUGGAGUGCAGUGGCACGAUCUCGGCUCACUGUAACCUCUGCCUCCUGGGUUCAAGCAAUUCUCCUGCCUCAGCCUCCCGAGUAGCUGGGAUUACAAGCGAGUGCCACCAUGCCUGGCUAAUUUUUAUAUUUUUAGUAGAGGCCGGGUUUCACCGUGUUGGCCAGGCUGGUCUUGAACCUCUGACCUUAGGUGAUCCACCCACCUCGGCCUCCCAAAGUUCUGGGAUUACAGGCAUGCACCACCGUGCCCGGCCUGCUAAUUGGUUUUUUAACUAAAGAAAUAAUUUAUGGAGAAUCAAACAUAAAAAGGUAUAAGACAAAAAGAAAAAGUCAAAUGGUGUCAAAGAAUGGUGUCCCAGACUCCCAAGCAGGAAUCCUUGCAGAAAUUUUCCAUGUUUAUACAAUAACCACCAUAAACAUUGAACAUUUACUACGUGUCAAGUACUCUCCUAAACACUUUAUAUGCAUUAAUUCAGCAGAAAGCAAAUUUUUUAUGUUAAAGUUACAUAGCAAAUAUUUUAGGCUUUGUAGAGCACUUGGUCUCCGUUGCAACUAAUCAACACUUUGUUGUAGUAAGAAAGCAGCUAUAGGGAGUAUGUAAACUAACGGAUGCAGCUAUGUUCCAAUAAAACUUUAUUUAAAAAAACAAGCUAUAGCGCCAGGCGCAGUGGCUCACGCCAGUAAUCCUAGCACUUUGGGAGGCCAAGGCAGGCAGAUCACGAGGUCAGGAGAUCGA